GUCCUAGUGCAGUCAGAGGGGAAGAGCCAGGGCCAAAGGAAACCAGUACACCUGUAGCAAGCAACUGGGAGAGCGUCAGGGAGAGUGGCAGUGAAGUGAAGAUAUUUAUUCAGGUGCUCAGGCAGAAGUGAAGAAACAACAGCCACUGGCAUUGCACGUGCAUUGUGGGCCUCACUGCCUGAACUUAAUUACACAGGCUGCAUGUCAGGCUAGUUCUGUAAUAUGUGAUGCUUUAGAGUGGGUACAUGAUCUGGGGUCAUUAUGCAAACAGUCUGGAAGAUUCAAAGCUAUGUUUUCAGCAGUUGCAGCAGAUUCAGAGGGACCA
Long non-coding RNA from Oreochromis niloticus (Nile tilapia), 325 nucleotides. RefSeq lists it as uncharacterized. The transcript has 2 exons. Lineage: Eukaryota; Metazoa; Chordata; Actinopteri; Cichliformes; Cichlidae. The record is from RefSeq and is a predicted model, not a curated record.